RNAcentral lists this transfer RNA (94 nucleotides) under Synergistaceae bacterium. RNAcentral describes it as "tRNA-Ser". It matches the Rfam family "tRNA". Rfam says of the family: Transfer RNA (tRNA) molecules are approximately 80 nucleotides in length. Their secondary structure includes four short double-helical elements and three loops (D, anti-codon, and T loops). Further hydrogen bonds mediate the characteristic L-shaped molecular structure. tRNAs have two regions of fundamental functional importance: the anti-codon, which is responsible for specific mRNA codon recognition, and the 3' end, to which the tRNAs corresponding amino acid is attached (by aminoacyl-tRNA synthetases). tRNAs cope with the degeneracy of the genetic code in two manners: having more than one tRNA (with a specific anti-codon) for a particular amino acid; and 'wobble' base-pairing, i.e. permitting non-standard base-pairing at the 3rd anti-codon position. The record is from RNAcentral. Lineage: Bacteria; Thermotogati; Synergistota; Synergistia; Synergistales; Synergistaceae.
GGAGAGGUGGCCGAGUGGUCGAAGGCGCUCGCCUGGAAAGUGAGUAGACGGGUUAACCCUCGUCUCGAGGGUUCAAAUCCCUCCUUCUCCGCCA